GCAUAUCAAAAAGCGGAGGAAAAGAAACCAACCGGGAUUGCCUUAGUAACGGCGAGUGAAGCGGCAAAAGCUCAAAUUUGAAAUCUGGUACCUUCGGUGCCCGAGUUGUAAUUUGGAGAGGGCAACUUUGGGGCCGUUCCUUGUCUAUGUUCCUUGGAACAGGACGUCAUAGAGGGUGAGAAUCCCGUGUGGCGAGGAGUGCGGUUCUUUGUAAAGUGCCUUCGAAGAGUCGAGUUGUUUGGGAAUGCAGCUCUAAGUGGGUGGUAAAUUCCAUCUAAAGCUAAAUAUUGGCGAGAGACCGAUAGCGAACAAGUACAGUGAUGGAAAGAUGAAAAGAACUUUGAAAAGAGAGUGAAAAAGUACGUGAAAUUGUUGAAAGGGAAGGGCAUUUGAUCAGACAUGGUGUUUUGUGCCCUCUGCUCCUUGUGGGUAGGGGAAUCUCGCAUUUCACUGGGCCAGCAUCAGUUUUGGUGGCAGGAUAAAUCCAUAGGAAUGUAGCUUGCCUCGGUAAGUAUUAUAGCCUGUGGGAAUACUGCCAGCUGGGACUGAGGACUGCGACGUAAGUCAAGGAUGCUGGCAUAAUGGUUAUAUGCCGCCCGUCUUGAACCACGGACCC
RNAcentral lists this ribosomal RNA (616 nucleotides) under Saccharomyces cerevisiae (brewer's yeast). RNAcentral describes it as "partial large subunit ribosomal RNA". It matches the Rfam family "Eukaryotic large subunit ribosomal RNA", at positions 38 to 668 of the family's 3401-position model. The record is from RNAcentral. Lineage: Eukaryota; Fungi; Ascomycota; Saccharomycetes; Saccharomycetales; Saccharomycetaceae.